RNAcentral lists this ribosomal RNA (272 nucleotides) under Proteus mirabilis. RNAcentral's name for it is "partial 23S ribosomal RNA". The stretch from base 1 to 93 matches the Rfam family "Bacterial large subunit ribosomal RNA", at positions 471 to 563 of the family's 2925-position model. Lineage: Bacteria; Pseudomonadati; Pseudomonadota; Gammaproteobacteria; Enterobacterales; Morganellaceae. The record is from RNAcentral.
UACUCCUGAUUGACCGAUAGUGAACCAGUACCGUGAGGGAAAGGCGAAAAGAACCCCGGCGAGGGGAGUGAAAAAGAACCUGAAACCGUGUACGUACAAGCAGUAGGAGCCCCAUCACUCAAGUGCCUCGCACUGAGUGAUGCAAGAACAUCACCGAAAAUAGCGCCGAAUUUGCUAACAAGGUUGGUCGAUUUUUUCAAGCCGUCGCGCAGUGUACCUAGAAGUACACGAGCAACGGAAGUUAAAAAAUCGGGCAAGAUUGAACGCAAAGG